GAACAUGUUGAUCUGGGCCUUCUUUCACAAAGCAUUAAGGUGAUCGUAAGUCACAAAGGUAACCUUAGUGCAAUGAUAAAGAAUGGGAGUAAAGGUAACCUUAGUAAA
Haliotis rubra (blacklip abalone) is the source of this 108-nucleotide long non-coding RNA. RefSeq lists it as uncharacterized. The transcript has 3 exons. Lineage: Eukaryota; Metazoa; Mollusca; Gastropoda; Lepetellida; Haliotidae. The record is from RefSeq and is a predicted model, not a curated record.